Podarcis lilfordi (Lilford's wall lizard) is the source of this 73-nucleotide non-coding RNA. NCBI's taxonomy places the organism in Eukaryota, Metazoa, Chordata, Lepidosauria, Squamata, Lacertidae. The record is from the annotation of a GenBank genome assembly.
GGAGUCCCUGGCUGAGUGGUAGAGCGUCUGCCUUGCACGCAGACAAUCCCUGCUUCAAUCCCUGGCGUCUCCA